This 465-nucleotide ribosomal RNA is filed under the name Vreelandella stevensii. RNAcentral describes it as "partial 16S ribosomal RNA". It matches the Rfam family "Bacterial small subunit ribosomal RNA", at positions 338 to 795 of the family's 1533-position model. The record is from RNAcentral. Lineage: Bacteria; Pseudomonadati; Pseudomonadota; Gammaproteobacteria; Oceanospirillales; Halomonadaceae.
CCUACGGGUGGCUGCAGUGGGGAAUAUUGGACAAUGGGCGAAAGCCUGACCCAGCCAUGCCGCGUGUGUGAAGAAGGCCUUCGGGUUGUAAAGCACUUUCAGUGGGGAAGAAAGCCUUGGGGCUAAUACCCUCGAGGAAGGACAUCACCCACAGAAGAAGCACCGGCUAACUCCGUGCCAGCAGCCGCGGUAAUACGGAGGGUGCGAGCGUUAAUCGGAAUUACUGGGCGUAAAGCGCGCGUAGGCGGUCUGAUAAGCCGGUUGUGAAAGCCCCGGGCUCAACCUGGGAACGGCAUCCGGAACUGUCAGGCUAGAGUGCAGGAGAGGAAGGUAGAAUUCCCGGUGUAGCGGUGAAAUGCGUAGAGAUCGGGAGGAAUACCAGUGGCGAAGGCGGCCUUCUGGACUGACACUGACGCUGAGGUGCGAAAGCGUGGGUAGCAAACAGGAUUAGAUACCCUAGUAGUC